UACAGAGGGUGCAAGCGUUAAUCGGAAUGACUGGGCGUAAAGGGCGUGUAGGCGGUAAGAUAAGUUAGAUGUGAAAUCCCCGGGCUUAACCUGGGAACUGCAUCUGAUACUGUUUUACUAGAGUACAAGAGAGGAGAGUGGAAUUUCCGGUGUAGCGGUGAAAUGCGUAGAUAUCGGAAGGAACAUCAGUGGCGAAGGCGGCUCUCUGGCUUGAUACUGACGCUGAGGCGCGAAAGCGUGGGUAGCGAAC
This 250-nucleotide ribosomal RNA is filed under the name uncultured bacterium. RNAcentral describes it as "partial 16S ribosomal RNA". It matches the Rfam family "Bacterial small subunit ribosomal RNA", at positions 524 to 773 of the family's 1533-position model. The record is from RNAcentral.